UAGCAUGGCUGAGUUAAAUAUCCUUAAUGCUGAAUACAACAUUUACCAGUUCUCAAAAAAAAAGAAGAGAUGGAGCAUUUCUCAAUCAAGUAAAUUUACGUGAAGCUCCGUCAGAAGAUUUGUGUGUAACAACUUGGGAUCACCUAGAUGUAUCUUUAUCUCGAGACGAGACUAGGGACAGAAUGCCGAAAUGGGGAAUGGUUGUG
This 206-nucleotide unclassified non-coding RNA is filed under the name Hevea brasiliensis (rubber tree). The record is from RNAcentral. Lineage: Eukaryota; Viridiplantae; Streptophyta; Magnoliopsida; Malpighiales; Euphorbiaceae.